UACGGGAGGCAGCAGGGGGGAAUAUUGGACAAUGGGCGAAAGCCUGAUCCAGCCAUGCCGCAUGAGUGAAGAAGGCCUUCGGGUUGUAAAGCUCUUUUAGUGAGAAAGAUAAUGACGGUACUCACAGAAGAAGUCCUGGCUAACUCCGUGCCAGCAGCCGCGGUAAUACGGAGAGGGCUAGCGUUAUUCGGAAUUAUUGGGCGUAAAGAGCGCGUAGGCUGAUUAGUAAGUUAAAAGUGAAAUCCCAAAGCUUAACUUUGGAAUUGCUUUUUAAAACUGCUAGUCUAGAGAUUGAAAGAGGAUAGAGGAAUUCCUAGUGUAGAGGUGAAAUUCGUAAAUAUUAGGAGGAACACCAGUGGCGAAGGCGUCUAUCUGGUUCAAAUCUGACGCUGAGGCGCGAAGGGCGUGGGGAGCAAACGAGGGAUUAGAUACC
This 433-nucleotide ribosomal RNA is filed under the name uncultured bacterium. Its description in RNAcentral is "bacterial SSU rRNA". It matches the Rfam family "Bacterial small subunit ribosomal RNA", at positions 340 to 786 of the family's 1533-position model. The record is from RNAcentral.